GACGAACGCUGGCGGCGUGCUUAACACAUGCAAGUCGAACGGCAAGGCCUCAGCUUGCUGGGGUACUCGAGUGGCGAACGGGUGCGUAACACGUGGGUGAUCUGCCUUGCACUCUGGGAUAAGCUUAGGAAACUGGGUCUAAUACCGGACAUCAACUGCCUUUAGUGUGGAGGUUGGAAAGUUUUUUGGGUGCAUGGUUAGUUGGCGGCCUAUCAGCUUAUUGGGGGGGUCAUGGCCUACCACGGCGUCGGCGGGUAGCCGGCCUGUGGGGGUGUACGACGAUACUGGCACUUAGGGACGGCCCAGGCUCCUACUGUAGGAAGCAGGGGGGAAGAUUGAACAAGGGGCGGAGGCCGGAUGCAGAGACGCCGCGGGUGGGAUGACCGCCUUCUGGUUGUAGAAACCUUGCGACAGGGACGAAGCUUUUUGUGACGGUACCUGUAUAAGAAGCACCGGCUAACUACGUG
This 467-nucleotide ribosomal RNA is filed under the name uncultured bacterium. RNAcentral's name for it is "partial 16S ribosomal RNA". It matches the Rfam family "Bacterial small subunit ribosomal RNA", at positions 28 to 507 of the family's 1533-position model. The record is from RNAcentral.